UUUUUUAAAUUCUUAUAAGGUAUAAUUUAUCAUAGUUUACAUAUUCUUUCAAUAAUAGCAAUAAAAAACGUUUAGCAUAACACUUAUUUAUGCAUUUUUGGCACGUCUCAGGAAAACAAGAUCUGCAUAAAAAGAUGUAAAAAACUAUUUUUAUUUUUUAGCGUCUGGGAUCAUGUUUUUUAGUCUUUUGCGGAUCUUUGUUCUUGAUUUUCAAGUCGUGUCCUAAGAUUUGAAUUUUUAGUAGUGUUUUUUAAGUUGGAUAUAUCGAAAUGGGUAGAAAUAUUCUAAUAUGGAUAUUUUUUCUAUUAUUAUUAGUUUGGAAGUAUAUAAAAGUACUUAAAAAUUAUAUCAGAUGUGUUAUGUUUAGUGCAUUCCUACCAGGUCCUGAAGGAUUACCUUUUUUAGGGAAUAUCUUGACUUUAAAAAAUAGUGACCGUUUAGUAGAUUUAGGAACCAAUGCUUCUCAGUACUUUGGUCGAAUAUUCAGAGCUUGGGUACUCUUCCUGCCUUUCGUAUUCGUCUAUGAACCGGAUGACUUGAAGAUCAUUUUGUCGAAUUCAAAAGCUUCUGAAAAAAAUUUCUUGUAUUGUAUCAUGCAUACUUUCAUUGGGGAUGGAUUGAUAACAAAUAACGGUGGAAAAUGGAAACAAAACAGACGCCUCGUACAACAUUAUUUCCAAAUACAUUACAUUGAAAAUUACUUUGAUAUUUUUGCAAAUAUCUCCCAAGAAUUUACGGCAAAUUUAUCGACUAAAAAGUGCGUAAAAAUAACGGAAUUCGUUAAUUCCCUUGUACUUAAUAUUCUGCACAAAGCAGUGCUAGGAAUUUCAUCGACAGAUGACAAUCCGUUUAGAAGAGGUGAACUUCUUAUACUCAAGAGAAUUCUAAAACCCUGGUUAUUGUUGGAAACCGUUUUCAAACAUUCAGAUAUGUCAAAAAGAGAGAGGAGACAAAAUAUUACGCUUCACCAGUAUGUAAAGAAGGUUUUAAAUGAGAGACUUUGCGAAAGGAAGAAGAAAAAAAUAGUUACUUCUCCGUCACUCUUGGACUAUUUCAUUGAAUUGAUGGAGACCACACGAUUUUCUGAGAAGGAUGUUGUUAAUGAGAGUGUAACGUUCAUGUUAGCAGGACAAGAUUCUGUAGGAGCUACCAUUGCUUUCACUCUUUACUAUCUGGCUAAACACCAAGACAUCCAAGAAAAACUCCUGAAAGAGAUUACUGAUGUCUCUCCUGAGAAUGUUCCUUAUAGCUUGGAUCAAAUCAACAGAAUGACAUAUUUGGAGCAAUGUAUCAAAGAAACUAUGAGACUGGCUCCGAGCGUACCAAUAAUAUCCAGAGUUCUGACCAGUGAUAUUGUUUUAGAUAACUACACAUUACCAGCUGGUUUGAAUGUAUUUAUAUCACCCUUCAUUACGCACAGAUUGCCUCACAUUUUCAAAAAUCCCCUAAACUAUGAUCCUGAGCGAUUUUCUUCUGAAAAUUUGAAGAAAAUACCUUCACAUGGGUUUAUACCUUAUAGUGCAGGCCCUAGAAACUGCAUAGGUGAGUUCUUUAGUUUAUUAUCCUUUAGAAACCUUGUAUAAUAUCUCUAAUUCAUUAAAUAAAGAACCUAUACUAUAUAAUCAUCAACUGAUAUUGUAGCACUAAACAAUAAUUUAACUAAAAAUUUGAUACAAGGUAUCUCACUGUUAUGAUACAGUUCAGACGAGCAAUAAAAUAUAGCACUCUAUUCAAAAAACUACAAAUUUAGUGUAUAGUCUAUAAAAUGAAUAACUUUGAAUUUUGACCGUUAUUUUUUACCAACAUGGCAAAUAUAAAAUCCCUCU
This 1826-nucleotide unclassified non-coding RNA is filed under the name Sitophilus oryzae (rice weevil). Its description in RNAcentral is "probable cytochrome P450 4aa1, transcript variant X2". The record is from RNAcentral. Lineage: Eukaryota; Metazoa; Arthropoda; Insecta; Coleoptera; Curculionidae.